RNAcentral lists this non-coding RNA (200 nucleotides) under human gut metagenome. The record is from RNAcentral.
AGAACUGAUUAUCCGACAGGUGGAAUGAUGGGGUAACGCCCGGAAACGCCUGCUCUAAUACUCCGAAUGGCGUGGCGGCAGCUAAGUGCCAAAGCGUCAUAAGCUCGGUGAAGUCGGCUGAGAGCGUACCCUAAAGACGCGAAAGCGGUACAGGAACAGCGAACCAGAGGUGGUCGAGUGCGUGAUAGGCCGGGAGUCCA